This 407-nucleotide ribosomal RNA is filed under the name uncultured Actinomycetes bacterium. RNAcentral describes it as "bacterial SSU rRNA". It matches the Rfam family "Bacterial small subunit ribosomal RNA", at positions 38 to 446 of the family's 1533-position model. Lineage: Bacteria; Bacillati; Actinomycetota; Actinomycetes. The record is from RNAcentral.
GGCGGCGUGCUUAACACAUGCAAGUCGAACGGAAAGGCUCCUUCGGGGGUACUCGAGUGGCGAACGGGUGAGUAACACGUGGGUGAUCUGCCCUGCACUUUGGGAUAAGCCUGGGAAACUGGGUCUAAUACCGGAUAGGACCGCGCCAUGCAUGUGGUGUGGUGGAAAGCUAUUUGCGGUGUGGGAUGGGCCCGCGGCCUAUCAGCUUGUUGGUGGGGUGAUGGCCUACCAAGGCGACGACGGGUAGCCGGCCUGAGAGGGUGUCCGGCCACACUGGGACUGAGAUACGGCCCAGACUCCUACGGGAGGCAGCAGUGGGGAAUAUUGCACAAUGGGCGCAAGCCUGAUGCAGCGACGCCGCGUGGGGGAUGACGGCCUUCGGGUUGUAAACCUCUUUCACCAUCGGC